Molecule: ribosomal RNA, 477 nt
Filed under: uncultured bacterium
Lineage: Bacteria
Description: partial 16S ribosomal RNA
Rfam family: Bacterial small subunit ribosomal RNA
Source: RNAcentral
GACGAACGCUGGCGGCAUGCCUAACACAUGCAAGUCGAGCGAGCAGAUUCCUUCGGGGUGAAGCUAGCGGCGGACGGGUGAGUAACACGUGGGCAACCUGCCUCAUAGAGGGGAAUAGCCUUCCGAAAGGAAGAUUAAUACCGCAUAAGAUUGUAGCUUCGCAUGAAGCAGCAAUUAAAGGAGCAAUCCGCUAUGAGAUGGGCCCGCGGCGCAUUAGCUAGUUGGGGAGGUAACGGCUCACCAAGGCGACGAUGCGUAGCCGACCUGAGAGGGUGAUCGGCCACAGUGGGACUGAGACACGGCCCAGACUCCUACGGGAGGCAGCAGUGGGAAUAUUGCACAAUGGGGGAAACCCUGAUGCAGCAAUGCCGCGUGAGUGAUGACGGCCUUCGGGUUGUAAAGCUCUGUCUUCGGGGACGAUAAUGACGGUACCCGAGGAGGAAGCCACGGCUAACUACGUGCCAGCCGCCGCUGUAA